GAUGAACGCUGGCGGCGUGCCUAACACAUGCAAGUCGAGCGAUUUACUUCGGUAAAGAGCGGCGGACGGGUGAGUAACGCGUGGGUAACCUGCCCUGUACACACGGAUAACAUACCGAAAGGUAUGCUAAUACGAGAUAACAUACUUUUAUCGCAUGGUAUAAGUAUCAAAGCUUUUGCGGUACAGGAUGGACCCGCGUCUGAUUAGCUAGUUGGUAAGGUAAUGGCUUACCAAGGCGACGAUCAGUAGCCGACCUGAGAGGGUGAUCGGCCACAUUGGAACUGAGACACGGUCCAAACUCCUACGGGUGGCUG
Molecule: ribosomal RNA, 314 nt
Filed under: uncultured Bacillota bacterium
Lineage: Bacteria; Bacillati; Bacillota
Description: bacterial SSU rRNA
Rfam family: Bacterial small subunit ribosomal RNA
Source: RNAcentral